Molecule: ribosomal RNA, 253 nt
Filed under: uncultured bacterium
Lineage: Bacteria
Description: partial 16S ribosomal RNA
Rfam family: Bacterial small subunit ribosomal RNA
Source: RNAcentral
UACGUAGGUGGCAAGCGUUGUCCGGAUUUACUGGGCGUAAAGAGCGCGCAGGCGGUCGUUCAAGUCGCGUGUGAAAGCCCCCGGCUCAACUGGGGAGGGUCACGCGAUACUGAUCGACUGGAAGGCAGGAGAGGGUAGUGGAAUUCCCGGUGUAGUGGUGAAAUGCGUAGAGAUCCGGAGGAACACCAGUGGCGAAGGCGACACGCUGGGCCGUACCUGACACUGAUGCGCGACAGCAUGGGGAGCAAACAGG